AUACGAUAAGAAGCGCGGUGUAGAAACUAGUGAUGGAUACAGCUUUGCAGAACAGGAGACGUUGCCAUGCCAGAGAUUGUUGAGGUUAUGAGUGUUUAGUAAAUUAAUGAUUGAGGAUUGACCGAGGGAUUCUAAGUUCCUGUUAUGUUCCAAAACGAUGAAGAAUAUCGAUAAGACUUCGAAAGCGUGUGAAAAACAGAGAAAUGAUUAUGGUUCUCGAUUUUCUUUUUAAAGAUGCAAAAUGCAUCGAGAAGCAAAUGGAAAAAUAUUUCUCCCUAUCUAACGAUAAUAUAAUUCUUUGCCCUUCGUA
Bombus pascuorum is the source of this 310-nucleotide long non-coding RNA. RefSeq lists it as uncharacterized. NCBI's taxonomy places the organism in Eukaryota, Metazoa, Arthropoda, Insecta, Hymenoptera, Apidae. The transcript is spliced from 2 exons. The record is from RefSeq and is a predicted model, not a curated record.